UACUAAUUAUUAUUAUUGUUAUUUAAGAAAGCAGUAAUCAGGUGAUGUUAUCUCUCACACCUUUAUAAGAAAUGAGAGGUGCAGUUUAAAUAAAUAAACAAACACAGGACUCCAAAUCAUUACGCAAUAAGUCUUAUCCCUGUUUACACCACAGUGCAGACUACCCAUAGCCAUACAUUUCUUGCGUGCCACAAGAGCCUGGGGACAGACAUGGAGUCAAGAAUUGGGGAUUUCUGAAUCAACUCCAUGCAGAAAUGUAGCCUAAGUUAGUGAGAACCAGUACAUGUAGAAAAUUCAAUCUGCUUCUGCAAAGAUGGGAGGAAAUAACACUUGGGAUCCUUGCCUUUGCAUGCCUCUGACAGAGAGCAGCUGAGGUAUUGAUCCCUUGCUUGAGGCUGGGCUAAGAGCAUGUUGUCAUGACUCCAAAUUUCUCCGGUUUUAGAGGGUGAUUUCUUUUAAAUUUUACUCAAAAAAAUUCCCCCACAAAAUGAAGAAUUAUUUACCAGUCAGCAGAAACAGCAACAUUGCUAACAGUGCAGUAGCCUGGCUCCUGAUCCUCAGAGCAGGAAUCCACCGUCAGUGAUGCUGCCUGCAAAAGCCACGCACACAAAUAUGCUGAAUAUUAUUACAAGGCUGCAGCCACCAACCACGUUAACUGAUUAAAUAUAUUAUAUCAAGAACUUGGCAAGAACGGAGCACUUGUGUAUUACUGUCACUCAGGAUUGCAGGGUGCUUCAGAGCCACUGCUCAACCCCAAUCUGCAUCAACACAGUGAACACCAAGAUGUGGAUACUAGCAGAGAGUGAGCUAAUUGACUACUUCAUACAGAAAAUCAGGUAAACACAAGGUUUGCAGAUUUGGGUAGGGUUUCUUUUAUGUUUGUUUGCUUUCCUCCUUGAAAUGGCAUUAUUUUGGCUUGUACUGUAUCCUACUCUUGAUCUGAACAGAGAGCUGCUCCCUCCAAACACCAAGGGCAUCCCUUCAGGGGCUUGACCAUGGCAUUAAACACAUUGCUUUAACUUGAUAAAAAGCACAUUACAAAAGCUGGGAGUACAAACACUGAGAUUACUAGUUAAAAAUAAUAACCAACCACUCAAUAAUA
This 1102-nucleotide long non-coding RNA is filed under the name Strigops habroptila (Kakapo). RNAcentral describes it as "lncRNA (ENSSHBG00005010896.1)". The record is from RNAcentral. Lineage: Eukaryota; Metazoa; Chordata; Aves; Psittaciformes; Psittacidae.